Molecule: ribosomal RNA, 406 nt
Filed under: uncultured bacterium
Lineage: Bacteria
Description: partial 16S ribosomal RNA
Rfam family: Bacterial small subunit ribosomal RNA
Source: RNAcentral
GACGAACGCUGGCGGCGUGCUUAACACAUGCAAGUCGAACGAGUGGCGAAUGGGUGAGUAAUGUCUGGGAAACUGCCUGGUGGAGGGGGAUAACUACUGGAAACGGUAGCUAAUACCGCAUACCAUCAGAUGUGCCCAGAGGGGAUUAGCUUGUGGGUGGGGUAACGGCUCACCAAGGCGACGAUCCCUAGCUGGUCUGAGAGGAUGACCAGCCACACUGGCACUGAGACACGGUCCAGACUCCUACGGGAGGCAGCAGUGGGUAAUAUUGCACAAUGGGCGCAAGCCUGAUGCAGCCAUGCCGCGUGUAUGAAGAAGGCCUUCGGGUUGUAAAGUACUUUCAGCGGUGAGGCGUUACCCGCAGAAGAAGCCCCGGCUAACUCCGUGCCAGCAGCCGCGGUAAUAC